AGAGUUUGAUCCUGGCUCAGAAUCAACGUUGGCGGCGCGCUUAACACAUGCAAGUCGAACGAGAAAGUGUAGCAAUACAUGAGUACAGUGGCGUACGGGUGAGUAACACGUGGGUAUCUACCUGUUAGUGGGGAAUAACCCUGGGAAACCGGGGCUAAUACCGCAUAAGCCCGAAAGGGGAAACUCGAAAGAGGCUGACAGAAGAGCCCGCGGCCGAUUAGCUAGUUGGUGAGGUAAUGGCUCACCAAGGCUAUGAUCGGUAGCCGGCCUGAGAGGGCACACGGCCACACUGGCACUGAAACACGGGCCAGACUCCUACGGGAGGCAGCAGUGGGGAAUCUUGCACAAUGGGGGAAACCCUGAUGCAGCGACGCCGCGUGAGUGAUGAAGCCCUUCGGGGUGUAAAGCUCUUUCGACGGGAACGAUAAUGACGGUACCCGGAGAAGAAGCUGCGGCUAACUACGUGCCAGCAGCCGCGGUAAUACGUAGGCAGCAAACGUUGUUCGGAAUUACUGGGCGUAAAGAGUGUGUAGGCGGUUCUGUAAGUUUGGUGUGAAAUCUCCCGGCUUAACUGGGAGGGUGCGCCGAAAACUGCAAGGCUUGAGUGCUGGAGAGGAGAGCGGAAUUCCUGGUGUAGCGGUGAAAUGCGUAGAUAUCAGGAGGAACACCGGUGGUGUAGACGGCUUUCUGGACCGUAACUGACGCUGAGACACGAAAGCGUGGGUAGCAAACAGGAUUAGAUACCCUAGUAGUCC
Molecule: ribosomal RNA, 755 nt
Filed under: uncultured bacterium
Lineage: Bacteria
Description: bacterial SSU rRNA
Rfam family: Bacterial small subunit ribosomal RNA
Source: RNAcentral